UUUCCGGUUGAUCCUGCCGGACCUGACUGCUAUCGGAUUGAUACUAAGCCAUGCGAGUCUUUGCAGUAAUGCAAGGCAUACGGCUCAGUAACACGUAGUCAACUUACCCUAUGGACGAGGAUAAUCUCGGGAAACUGAGCAUAAUACUCGAUAGAUCAUAAUGCCUGGAAUGGUUUAUGGUUGAAAUGAUUCGUCGCCAUAGGAUGGGACUGCGGCCUAUCAGCUUGUUGGUGAGGUAAUGGCCCACCAAGGCGAUUACAGGUACGGGCUCUGAGAGGAGAAGCCCGGAGAUGGGUACUGAGACAAGGACCCAGGCCCUAUGGGGCGCAGCAGGCGAGAAAACUUUGCAAUGUGCGAAAGCACGACAAGGUUAAUCCGAGUGAUUUCUGCUAAAGAAAUCUUUUGCAAGUCAUAAAACCACUAGUGAAUAAGGGGUGGGCAAGUUCUGGUGUCAGCCGCCGCGGUAAAACCAGCACCUCAAGUGGUCAGGAGGAUUAUUGGGCCUAAAGCAUCCGUAGCCGGCUCUGUAAGUUUUCGGUUAAAUCCAUGUGCUCAACGCAUGGGCUGCCGAAAAUACUGCAUAGCUAGGGAGUGGGAGAGGUAGACGGUACUCGGUAGGAAGGGGUAAAAUCCUUUGAUCUAUCGAUGACCACCUGUGGCGAAGGCGGUCUACCAGAACACGUUCGACGGUGAGGGAUGAAAGCUGGGGGAGCAAACCGGAUUAGAUACCCGGGUAGUCCCAGCUGUAAACGAUGCAGACUCGAUGAUGCAUUGGCAUAUAGCCAGUGCAGUGUCGCAGGGAAGCCGUUAAGUCUGCCGCCUGGGAAGUACGUACGCAAGUAUGAAACUUAAAGGAAUUGGCGGGGGAGCACCACAAGGGGUGAAGCCUGCGGUUCAAUUGGAUUCAACGCCGGGA
This 916-nucleotide ribosomal RNA is filed under the name uncultured archaeon. RNAcentral's name for it is "SSU rRNA". It matches the Rfam family "Archaeal small subunit ribosomal RNA", at positions 1 to 923 of the family's 1478-position model. The record is from RNAcentral.